GUGCUUGCUUUGGCAGCACAUAUAGUAAACUGGAACAAUACAGAGAAGAUUAGCUUGGCCCCUGCACAAGGACCAAAUGCAAAUCUGUGAAGCAUUCCAUUAAAAA
Molecule: small nuclear RNA, 106 nt
Organism: Acomys russatus (golden spiny mouse)
Lineage: Eukaryota; Metazoa; Chordata; Mammalia; Rodentia; Muridae
Source: RefSeq, a predicted model, not a curated record